Molecule: ribosomal RNA, 1155 nt
Filed under: Triticum aestivum (bread wheat)
Lineage: Eukaryota; Viridiplantae; Streptophyta; Magnoliopsida; Poales; Poaceae
Description: partial small subunit ribosomal RNA
Source: RNAcentral
AUGGCUGGCGGCGGCGGCGGCGCGUCGCCGGCGCGGGACGGCGGGCGGGAGGAGUGGCUGCGCAUCUACGACCGGAUGGUGGCCGUCCUGCGGAAGAGCCACCGGGACGUGGAGGCGCUGCUCGCCGACCGCAAGCGCCUCGAGGCCGUCCUCAAGAUCCAGCACGACUUCUGGCUCCACCGCGACGCCGUCCUCCGGGACCGCCUCGACGAGACGCGGAGGGUGGAGGACUGCCUGCGGCGGGGCGACGCCGCCAAGCUCGACCUGCUCCUCGGCGACAAGGACCUCGAGGUGCGCCGCCACCGGAUCUACAUCGAACACCAAGAUGGUGACUUGGAGGAUUUCAAAAGAGAUGCAGCUGCUUUGGCUCAAGAAAACAAUGAAUUGAAGAUAAAACUGAAGGAAGCUGAAAGUUGUGCCGAGCUCAGCGAGCCAACUACAGACCCCGAGCACAGUGGAAGAGAUUUGAGAGCAGAGAUAAGGAAGCUAAAGAAAGCCUAUAAGGCCCUGAGCUCGCAGAAGGAGAGCGAGGUUUCCGCGUUACUCGCAGAAAAGGAUUUCGUGUGGAACCAGUACAAGACAAUGGAGAAGGACUACGAGACGCUCCUUAAGAAGAAGAAGAUGGAGGCAGCACAGGCUACUGAAGCAGCCGAGAAGCUUCAGCAGAAGGUGGAGGAGCUGCAACUGCAAGUGUCAGCCCAAAAGAAGGAUGACGAUGUUGGCAGAUUGCAAGCGGAAGCUAAUGAUGCCAAAAAGAAGGUGCUGGCUCUUGAGGAUAAGCUACAAAAAAUGCACUCCCUGGUCAGUGAGAAAGACGAUGAGAUCCAAAAACUCAAGAGUGGGCACCUUCAGGCUAGUCAAAAGCGGAAGAAGGAUAUCAGCGGGACACAUAGAAGAUCUAGGUCUGAAGGUCCAUCUGUACGGGGGAAGUCUAAAAGUAAUCCUCGGAGGCAAAUGGCAGAAGAAGAUCAACCCGAGACCAGUCAGAAGCGUCAGUGUGCCUCUUCGUUAUCAAGUGGACUGGCGCUCCGGCGCUGCUCCUCGAGGAUGACGCACCUGAAACCCGCGUCGUCGUCGUCGUCGCCUGCGCCCCAGCAGGUACUCUUCCACUCCAGUUUCAAGCUGCUGUUAGACCUCCAUGAUGGCUGUGUUUAG